UUUCCGCUUUCAUCGCUCUUGACCUAAUUCCUUCUUGUAACCGAGCCUCCUCACGAGCAAGUCGUGCACCUCGCAUGGCGAUGAGGACGCCUGGGCUACGACAAGGACGCCCACAGCGGCAAGGACGCUCGAAGCCGCUUCAAAGCCGCCAUUGGUAAGCCUCCAGUGCUCAACAUCGUCACCUUCGCCAAGAUCGAAAGCGACCAAAUCAAGGUUUUUUCUUUCCCCAAAUCACAUUUUAGAAUCUAAGUUUUUAAAUCCACCCAUGCUCCACCACCAUCCAUGACCUCCUCUGGAACCACAACCUCCUCGACAAGUUGAUCCCCAAGUCCAUCAAGUGCUUCUCCUACGACAACGCCUCCGGUCUCCUCGAGGUCUGACUCUAUGGCCCCUGCUAUGCGCACUACGAAGACAGGCUCACCUACUUCGACAGCGAGGUGCGGGGGAACCUCAGCUACGACACUCUGUAGGGUGGUUGGGUGGGUGCAGGAGGAGUUGUUCCUUAAAUUCCUGAUUAAGGAGAUCAUGGUCACCGAUCCCACCUUUGGUGUGAUCAUCUUCGACAUCGACAUUGUGCGCAAGCGCCUUCCCGCCUCCGCCUUCGACCUGCCGCCGAAAUGCCACCUGGAAGUGGAAGAAGUGACCAUCAGAAUAGUCAUUUGCAGAGUUGUUGCGAAUAGUUGGAGAAUUUCUUCAUUAGAGUUGAUCAUCACAAAAAAAAGUAAUUCAUAAAAUUGCCAAUGGUUGCACUACUUGAUGAAGUUAAGAUCCAAGGUUUUGUUCUUAUUGCAAAGGGUUUAUUUUCAACUUUCAAAGAUGAGGCUAUCUUCUUCAAAUCUCUCUGAUCACUAAAAGAAGGUAUUUCUUUACUAGUUCCUUCUCAUCUUAUUGUUACUGUUGAUGUAUUAUAUUACACUUGGCUGCUUUAAAGCCUAUUUUAAUAAUUUUUUCUUCAACUGGAUUUUCCUUGCAAGUAACCUACAGUUUUAAAAGGACUUGAUUUCCUACCAAACUUCCUUGCAUCUUGGUUUAUACAAUAGCAGACAUGGUGUUCAAAGGAAGUUAUGCAUUAUGAAUAUUAGUUGAAUAAUAACUUAAUGUUUUUCUCUGACAUAUAGAGAAGAAAAUUUUUACCAGAUUGAAUUUUUAACUUCCUUGACUUAGCCAAUAACUAAUUGUUUUUCUCUAACCUUUCAGAUGACACUUUCAUAGGUGUAAAUGAUAUUUCCAUUUAUUUGGAAUAUUUGACAAUCUUCAAGUUCUAUGUGAAGCCUUUACAAAGAUUCAAAAUAUUUGUUUAUAUUAUUAGAAAAUCUGUCUGCAUUCUUCUUUUAAUUUUUAGCAACGAUAUCAGAGAGUUCGCGGAUAACAAAUCGACCUGAGUUAGUGAAUAAAAUAGAGAAAAACAAAAUGUUGAUGACUACUCUACUCAUUCUUCAUUCAAUCUUCAAUAAUGAUGUGAUGUGGUGGGUGGAAAUUUUGCUAGAGGGUGGCGGUCUACAGUGAUGUGAUGGGUGAAUCAUGUAAGGGGAUGGUGUAUGAACUUCAACGUGAUCGACACUUUGGAAGAUCAAAUAAUUAAAGUUUCAAUAGAUUUGUUCUAAUAAGAAGAAUAAAGAAUUAUCACAAGAAAUUUAAGACAUGCAUACUACUAGCAAGAGGAUGGAGGAAGAAAUUAUUAAAAGGAAAAGAAAAUUGGAAUCCUAAUGUAUGAUUGCUUUUAUCUCAAGACUAUGUGAAUGUUUAUUUAUCUCAAUGGUAAUCAUAUUGUACUUUUGGAUUUAGAAAUUAGUUAUUUUAAUAUUUUUAAUUUAUUUGAAA
RNA transcript from Zingiber officinale, 1821 nucleotides. RefSeq lists it as uncharacterized. Lineage: Eukaryota; Viridiplantae; Streptophyta; Magnoliopsida; Zingiberales; Zingiberaceae. The transcript has 4 exons. The record is from RefSeq and is a predicted model, not a curated record.